RNAcentral lists this long non-coding RNA (731 nucleotides) under Marmota monax (woodchuck). The record is from RNAcentral. Lineage: Eukaryota; Metazoa; Chordata; Mammalia; Rodentia; Sciuridae.
GUUUUAUUUUUUUUUCUAUUCUCAAUUGCUACAUAAAAACAAACUCAAACCAAGCAUGGUAGCAGACACCUGUAAUCCUAGCUAUUCUAGAGGCUAAGACAGGAGUUCAAAUUUCAAGUUCAAGGCCAGCCUGGGCAACUUAGCAAGAACCUGUUUAAGACAAAAUUAAAAGGGCUGGGGAUGUUUCUCGUUGGUAGAAUACUCCUGAGUUCAAUCCCCAGUACCACCAGGAAAAAAAAAAUCACGUCUAAAACAGACACCAUUUUACGAUUACCCUUCAUGAUUUUGUGGGUCAGGAAUCGCCAAAGGGCACAUUGAGAAAGACCUGUCUGUGCUCACAGUGUCCAGAGCCAUAGCUUGCGUGACUAAAGUGGCUAGAAGACCAAACCAUUGGGGAGUGACGGCCAGUCUCCACAUCUUCAAGUGGUCUCUGGGCCUCUCUCCACUUGCUCCCUCCAGCAUGAAGACCUCAAGGUAUUUGGACUUAAAUGGCUCAGAGUUCAAAGAGAUCCCAGAGGCUUCUUUUGACAUUGACAGGAGGUCACUUAUGCUCAUUGUCAAGUAAGUCACUAAGGUGGCCCAGAUUCAAGGGAGGGAAAUUCACUCCACCUCUCAAUGAGAAGAGCAGCCAAGAACUUACAGUUCUUUUAAUCUGCACAGAUCCCAUACUUUGAAAUCAUUAAAGGGAACAAAGAUGCAAGAAGAUGUGCAAAGCUCUGAGCUCCAUCCCC